UGCCGUGGCGUGGCCCCACGGCAAAAUCCUUGCCGCCACACCAUAAUAAAAAAUAUAAAAAAUAUAAAAAAUAAAAUAAAAUAUAUAUAUAGCCUAUAUAUUAAAUUCAUAAAUUAAAAAAGUUAAACUUUCUAAAUAUUUCUGCCUAAAUGCGCUUUCAAAUCCAUACUGUCGCGUCCACAUUUAUUUUCCUAAAGAGCCUAGGCCGCGCGCACCGUGUUUGUUCCUUUCUGAGGUGGUCGGAUGACUUGCAGCGUGCGAAGGUCGCACGGUCUGUCAAAGCUAGGUAGCGACGCUUCAAAUAUUACAAAAAUACCAUAGUGUUAACUAGUGUUUUAAUUGGACCAAAAUAAGUGCCGGUACCUACUCCUCAAAAUACAUACUGUUUAAAAUAAAUUAAUGUUGGUAAUCAAAAGAAGAGUCGGUACUCAUAUACAAGUCCCAACAGCUCCUGCCCAUCUCAAGCACUGGCGUUAACUAUCUUUCGGUGAUGACAACUGGCGGAUCCUAACUCUGUUCGGGCAAGUGCAAUGCCUCAUGCAGUUGUCUGAUCGGACAAGUAACAAAUAAAUGUGUUAAAUAUGUAACGUUAUCUGAAAAUAAACAGUGUUUGAGCCGAAGCCGAACCUGUUCCAGUUGAGCUACGUACGUGCCUACCAUUUUUUUUUUUUUUAAUCUAGAGCUAGUUAUAACGGCCGCAAAAUGUUGGCAAAUUGCCAAAA
This is a long non-coding RNA of Anguilla rostrata (American eel), 722 nucleotides long. RefSeq lists it as uncharacterized. The transcript has 2 exons. The record is from RefSeq and is a predicted model, not a curated record. Lineage: Eukaryota; Metazoa; Chordata; Actinopteri; Anguilliformes; Anguillidae.